CCUACGGGGGGCUGCAGUGAGGAAUAUUGGUCAAUGGACGGAAGUCUGAACCAGCCAUGCCGCGUGCAGGAAGACGGCCCUAUGAGUUGUAAACUGCUUUUGUACAAGGGUAAACCUGAAUACGUGUAUUCAGCUGAAAGUAUCGUACGAAUAAGGAUCGGCUAACUCCGGGCCAGCAGCCGCGGUAAUACGGAGGAUGCACGCGUUAUCCGGAUUUAUUGGGUUUAAAGGGUGCGUAGGCGGUCGGAUAAGUUAGAUGUGAAAUCCCGAGGCUCAACCUCGGAAUUGCAUUUGAUACUGUACGGCUAGAGAGUAGUUGCGGUAGGCGGAAUGCAUGGUGUAGCGGUGAAAUGCUUAGAUAUCAUGCAGAACACCGAUUGCGAAGGCAGCUUACCGGGGUACUACUGACGUUGAGGCACGAAAGCGUGGGGAGCAAACAGGAUUAGAUACCCUUGUAGUC
RNAcentral lists this ribosomal RNA (460 nucleotides) under uncultured bacterium. RNAcentral's name for it is "partial 16S ribosomal RNA". It matches the Rfam family "Bacterial small subunit ribosomal RNA", at positions 338 to 795 of the family's 1533-position model. The record is from RNAcentral.